RNAcentral lists this transfer RNA (75 nucleotides) under Tetrahymena thermophila. Its description in RNAcentral is "tRNA-Gln". It matches the Rfam family "tRNA". From Rfam's summary of the family: Transfer RNA (tRNA) molecules are approximately 80 nucleotides in length. Their secondary structure includes four short double-helical elements and three loops (D, anti-codon, and T loops). Further hydrogen bonds mediate the characteristic L-shaped molecular structure. tRNAs have two regions of fundamental functional importance: the anti-codon, which is responsible for specific mRNA codon recognition, and the 3' end, to which the tRNAs corresponding amino acid is attached (by aminoacyl-tRNA synthetases). tRNAs cope with the degeneracy of the genetic code in two manners: having more than one tRNA (with a specific anti-codon) for a particular amino acid; and 'wobble' base-pairing, i.e. permitting non-standard base-pairing at the 3rd anti-codon position. Lineage: Eukaryota; Ciliophora; Oligohymenophorea; Hymenostomatida; Tetrahymenidae. The record is from RNAcentral.
GGUUCUAUAGUAUAGCGCAAAGUACUGGGGANUCUAAAUCCCUUGACCUGGGUUCGAAUCCCAGUAGGACCUCCA